RNAcentral lists this long non-coding RNA (594 nucleotides) under Elaeis guineensis (African oil palm). RNAcentral's name for it is "long non-coding RNA (EGUI_LNC065926)". The record is from RNAcentral. Lineage: Eukaryota; Viridiplantae; Streptophyta; Magnoliopsida; Arecales; Arecaceae.
UUCAUCCGCUCAUCUGUAAAUCCAAACCAUAGCCAAUCAUGAGAAUCCUAUAACUCUGAGAAGAAAAAGAGAAAUGGAAGGGUAUGAACUUUACAGUCCAGUAAAAAUUUCAUAUAUCACACAUUAUAAUAAUAUAAUUUAAAAAUAAUAAUAAACAUAAAAUCUUAUAUCAAAUAUCUAGAAUAAUACAAAUAUCUGUAUAAAUAUAUGUUAAUUAUCUAUCUUGUCAAAAGAGAAAUGUUAUCACAUAUCAUUGGUGAAAGUCUUUUAUUCAGCAUGAAUUUUGUAUUCUAUCAUCUGUUUCUUUUAUCACAUAUCCAGUUUUCUUAAUCCGUUCUUUCCGACUUUGGACGGAUCAAGAUCAUGCCUAAAUUCUCUAUCUGAUCAAAUUUUUCAUUCAUAAGUCCAUCAAGACUGUCCCAGACAUGAGCUCCUGACUGGGUGUCCCAUGUAUGAAAGCCUGUGGGGACUGUUCCAGGUAUAAACUCCUGACGGGCUAUCCCAGGCAUGAGCUCCUGACUGGCUGAUCUACGUAUAAGUCCAUAGAGGCUGUCCCAGACAUAAGCUCCUGGUAGGCUGUCUCAGGCUUAAGCU